GUAGACAGGAUGAGGGCAGAGCCAGCUUCCUGAUCUGAUGGAAGUCAUGAAGCCUUCUCUGCCUUACGCUUGGCUCUGC
MicroRNA precursor from Homo sapiens (human), 79 nucleotides. NCBI's taxonomy places the organism in Eukaryota, Metazoa, Chordata, Mammalia, Primates, Hominidae. The record is from Ensembl.